Molecule: long non-coding RNA, 385 nt
Organism: Symphalangus syndactylus (siamang)
Lineage: Eukaryota; Metazoa; Chordata; Mammalia; Primates; Hylobatidae
Source: RefSeq, a predicted model, not a curated record
GCGGCAGAGCCCGACCGCGCCGUUCCCCAGAACAGCCCCGGCCCGGCUGCGGCUGAGUCGGACUCCGGGUGUGGACGGAGCCGGAGCCUCCCCGGGACGCGAACCGACAUCUAGAGGAGUACUCACCACUUAAUUGGUGAUCAAUACACGUUCGUUGAAAGAACCGAUAGCAUGCGAUCGAUACAGAGCAUCUGCACUGGCAGUGUCUGCCCCGCCUCGGGGGCUAAUGGAGCUGAGGGUAUAGUCGGCCUUGGACCCUCGCUUUUUUCCUUUCCUAUACCAUGAAGAUAACUGCCUUAUCUCCCCCUCAGGACUGUUCCGGGGAUUAAAUAGGACGUUUAAAUUACCAACGCUCUUUGAAAUAAACAUUUCAAAAUUAUUAUAA